GACAAAAAGAGAGCAAGCCCUAGGUUUCCUCUCUCUAAAAUUUUUGUGUUGCUCUGUCAAUUUCUAGGGUUUUCCUCUGGGUUCUGCAAAUCUCCGGAGGCUCCUACUUUUCUGUUUUCUACUGUUUAUGCUGAUUCAAGGUUCAAUGAAUGGGUGUUUUCAAGUUAUUCUUUAUUCAAAAAUGGUUCAAGAGAAUAAUUUGUUGAAAACUCUGGAAAAAAACUCGCGCUGAAGAUUGUGAAUCUGAGUCAAGGCUUUAGUCUCUCCUGAUCGAUUUGCUGGUAUUUUGGAUAUUCCUGUUUGUAGUAACGUAGUUUAAGGAUGGCAAUGUUGUCUUCAACGAAAGUCAUGAAUCAUUCAGGAGAGGUCACUGAGUUAUGGGGAUUGAGCUUAUUAUUUUGGGAUGCCGGUGAACACUCCAAGGGGGCCAGUGCAUACUGUGCAGAAAUUGAGGUUUAUUCUGGUGGUGCCAAGGUCUAUAAUAUAUAAUAUAUAUAUAUAUAUAUAUAUACAGCAACAAUAGGUGUAUCUUCUAGAGACUUUCAUUUGUGGACUGGAGAUGCCCAUAAUAUGUUUUUUGAAGAGGCUUCUGCAUAUCCUUUGGAGGCUGGUGCGUUUUCUGGCUAAUGGCGUUAUGAGGUUUAGGUUGAGCUCUAGCUUAUACAAUCUUUCAGAGACAUAAAUAGAUCGUUGGGUUUUGUUGUCUAUGGUUAUUUAGUGUUAAAACUCCUAUAGUUUGCCAUGAAGAAAAAAAAAAUUGAAAUAACCCCUAAUACGUCUAGGAGAGAUUGCACAAGUUUGGCCAAAAAAAAAAAAAAAAAUGAUUGCACAAGUCAUCCUAAAUAAAUUUCCUAAUUAUUAUUUCAUCAUUGUGAAUUAAGAAAGUACAAGAUAAUUGUUAGGCUGGCCUUUAUUUUCUUACAUUUAGAAGCCAUUGGACCAAGAUACAACAGCCAUCUUAAAGGCUCCCACUUUAAGGCUAUGGUGCAAAUUAUAUAUCGCCAAUGUGUUUCU
Molecule: long non-coding RNA, 1014 nt
Organism: Cornus florida
Lineage: Eukaryota; Viridiplantae; Streptophyta; Magnoliopsida; Cornales; Cornaceae
Exons: 3
Source: RefSeq, a predicted model, not a curated record